CAAUUCUGGUUGAUCCUGCCAGAGAUCACCACUAUUGGGGUUCGAUUAAGCCAUGCGAGUUUUUGGCAGCAAUGCCAAGGCGAACUGCUGAGUAACACGUAGUCAACCUGCCCUUCAGUCUGGAAUAACCUCGGGAAACUGAGGAUAAUACCGGAUAGGAGAUAAUGCCCGGAAAGGUUUAUCUUCUAAAGCUUCGGCGCUGAAGGAUGGGACUGCGGUGGAUUAGGUUGAUGUUAAGGUAAUGACUUAACAUGCCUGUAAUCUAUAGGGGCUUUGAGAGAAGUAGCCUCCAGAUGGGUUCUGAGACACGACCCCAGGCCCUACGGGGCGCAGCAGGCGCGAAACCUCCACAAUGCACGCAAGUGUGAUGGGGGAACCUCAAGUGCCAGCACACUGUGUUGGCUUUUUAGGAGUUUAAAUUGCUCUUAGAAUAAGUGAUGGGUAAGACCGUUGCCAGCCGCCGCGGUAAUAACGGCGUCACAAGUGGUGGUCACGAAUAUUGUGUCUAAAGCAUCCGUAGCCGGUUUAUUAAGUCUUCUGUGAAAUCUGUCAGCAAACUGUCAGGCGUGCAGGGGAUACUGGUAGACUAGGGACCGGGAGGGGUUAGGGGUACUUCUAGGGUAGCGGUGGAAUGCUGUAAUCCUAGAGGGACCACCUGUGGCGAAGGCGCCUAACUGGAACGGAUCCGACGGUGAGGGAUGAAAGCUAGGGGAGCAAAGGGGAUUAGAUACCCCCGUAGUCCUAGCUGUAAACGAUGCCCGCUUGGUAUUGGGAACCUUACGUGGGUUUUCAGUGCCGUAGGGAAGCCGUUAAGCGGGCCACCUGGGGAGUACGGUCGCAAGGCUGAAACUUAAAGGAAUUGGCGGGGGAGCACACAAGGGGUGUAGUCUGCGGUUUACUUGGACUUAACGCCGGGAAUCUCACCAGGGGUGACAGCCCUCUGACGGUCAGUCUGAAGGGCUUACCUGAGGCGCUGAGAGGUAUUGCAUGGCCGACGUCAGCUCGUGCCGCGAGGUGUCCUGUUAAGUCAGGUAACGAGCGA
This 1042-nucleotide ribosomal RNA is filed under the name archaeon. RNAcentral's name for it is "bacterial SSU rRNA". It matches the Rfam family "Archaeal small subunit ribosomal RNA", at positions 1 to 1048 of the family's 1478-position model. The record is from RNAcentral.